Molecule: long non-coding RNA, 1304 nt
Filed under: Heterocephalus glaber (naked mole-rat)
Lineage: Eukaryota; Metazoa; Chordata; Mammalia; Rodentia; Bathyergidae
Description: lncRNA (ENSHGLG00100047433.1)
Source: RNAcentral
UGUUAAGAUGUUUUUGUUUGUUUUUAAAUGGAAUCAAUUUAAAUGGUAAUAUAAUACCCAUUAUAUCUUUGAUUUUUGACUCUUAAUUUAAAAUGUUUGCUAUCUUUGUCCUUGAAGAAAGUCUGCUGAUUCUUACUCUAGGCUUUUAAGAAAGGACCUUAAAUUCCUGGAGAUAAGAAUGAUGGAUUGGUUUAUUUUAUGUUGUCGGAUUAUUUCCCGCUAAAUGUCUUCCAAAAGGGUCUCCUGUUGUCAGUGUGCCUGCAACCCAGUGAGAAAAGGGAGAAGUAUGUUUGAAACAUAGGCACUGUGAGAUUGUCAUGUCCAAUGACAAAAAUUAAUGAAAGACUAUGAGCCAGAUAAUUCCAGAGAUUUCCAGAAACAAAAAAUAUAUAGCGUAAAGGUAGAACAUGGCUUGGAUUGCUGAAGGAUGAGAAUUUGGGUUACUGCGGUGAGUAGAGAACCCUAACUAAAUGAGCAGCUAGAUGAGGUAUAGAUGAAGGAGGAGAAAUGUUGGACAUUUUGACUGUACCUUUAUAACUACUUGCAGAAUUGCAUGUUUUCUUCUUUCAUGCAUCAUUUGUACAUUUAGGCAUUCUAAUAUUUUCCCCUUUAUUAUGUUAUAUAGGCUAUUUUAAUGGUGGGAAACUUUAAGUCCUAACCCACAGUUUAUGGGUUGUGCAGCAAUGAAAGAGACUCCUGCAGAACUAGAACAGAGAUAACAUUCUCCAGAGGCCCUGGACUGGACAGUUACUGCUCGCCAAAGGGACUUUGUAAUGCCUUGAUCUGAGGACAGCACAUGGGAGUAUACCUUUGUGAAGUGGAGACUGAUCUAUGAAAGAGAAAUAUAUUUGUUGUUUGCAUGUUUAGGGGAUUCAUGAGGUCGGUGCAUGUACUGAGAGCAAUAGAGCUCGUUCUGGGUGGAAGUGAUGGAGGAAGUCUGUUUGCAAGGUCCUUUAUGACGAGAAACACGCUGUGAAUAAGGGCUGGGAAGAAUCCCAGGCCAGCACUGUCGCCACAGAGGAGUUGCAGAUUACGAAGCAGGUCCUUGUACGCAAUCCUAAGGGAGGAAAAGCUAUCGUUUGGAUCUAAAAUAUCCCACAGAAGCCUGGCUGCUCAAGGCUUGGACCUCAGCUCAAGGCACAGGCAGGAAAGUGUGGGCCUGGAAGAGCUGGGAAGUAGUGGGAGGUGUUCAGGGCUUCGGGCCCUGCCCUCCAAGCAGACCACAGACCCCAGUCUCCCUGUCCUCUCUCUUUUGUCCUGGCCUUGUGGUGGACAGAUUUGCUCCACCACAUACACCCUGCAGG